UACUGAUACUAGCACACCUACUGAAAAGUAGGGUCGCAAAACUAUGGGUCUAAGGGGAUUUUUCCUAUGAUUGCCAAGUAGCCAAA
RNAcentral lists this non-coding RNA (86 nucleotides) under Clostridium acidisoli. RNAcentral describes it as "c-di-GMP sequence". It matches the Rfam family "c-di-GMP-I riboswitch aptamer". From Rfam's summary of the family: GEMM was predicted in a large-scale screen for bacterial structured RNA regulatory elements. Genes associated with GEMM are involved in a diverse array of functions, including chemotaxis regulation, signal transduction, secretion and chitin. Lineage: Bacteria; Bacillati; Bacillota; Clostridia; Eubacteriales; Clostridiaceae. The record is from RNAcentral. RNAcentral also lists the same sequence under 1 other name.